CACAGGACUCACUGCGGCAGGGACAAUCUCCCCUGGGCCACCCCCGAAACCCAAAGGCAGGGACUGGUACUUCUCCAGGGGGCAGGCCGCCCAGGGUAUCCCUCUGCAGGGCAGCAGCUGUUGGGGCCAUCGAAGCAAUGCGGGGAAGCCGCUCCAUGAAGGUGAGUCUCCCCUGACAUGCUUGCAUUGCAGUGAAUUUGUGUAGCAGUUCCUUUUACUGGGUGGGAGGCCGCCAGCACUCCCGACCCCUUCUGAUCCCCUUGGGUGUCGCCGAAGCAGGGACUCAUGGGCCAGGACAACCCCCACCGGCCCGGGGGGGGGGGGAGCGGGGCCGGGCCCCCCCUUCAACAUGUGCU
This is a non-coding RNA of Pelobates cultripes (western spadefoot toad), 356 nucleotides long. The record is from the annotation of a GenBank genome assembly. NCBI's taxonomy places the organism in Eukaryota, Metazoa, Chordata, Amphibia, Anura, Pelobatidae.